Labrus mixtus (cuckoo wrasse) is the source of this 897-nucleotide non-coding RNA. The record is from the annotation of a RefSeq genome assembly. Lineage: Eukaryota; Metazoa; Chordata; Actinopteri; Labriformes; Labridae.
UGCUGCAAGGAAGAGAACUUUUCUCACUCUGAAUGUUGAACAUCAGAGAGUUCCUCCUGUUGGUUUAAACCUUGUUGUAGAGAUGGAACUUUGGCUGUGGAUUAUUCUGGCUGCUCUUUUAUUAGAGUGUAAAGGAGAAGACAGAGUGAUCCAGCCAACAGAAGAUGUCUUUGCUUCUGAAGGAGACACAGUCACACUUGAUUGUAAAUUUGAGACAACUGACACAACCCCCUCUUUGUUCUGGUACAGACAAGAAAUGGGUGAUUUCCCAAAGUACCUGUGGAAAAGCUAUGGAAGUUUUUCAGGAAAUGCUCCUGGGAUCUCGGAAGACAGAUUUAAAGCUGCAAAAAAUGGUACAUCAGUUCCUCUGAAGAUCCAGAAGCUUCAGCUGAAUGACUCUGCUGUGUACUACUGUGCUCUGAAGCCCACAGUGACAGGAAACACCACAACUCUGUACAAAAACCUCUGGAGAGAAGACAACACAAUACUCUCCCACAUCCACUAGAGAAAGUCACUGUUCAAACAUACUGUUCAUAGUCUGAUUGAAAUAUCAAAACUUGAGCUUUUCUUACAUUUCAAGGAGGAGCACAGUUUAAAGUUAAGACGUCACUUUUUAGCUGUUAUGACACACUGACCAAUUGCCUAUUUAACAACUCAGCAGCCUGUCAUGGGGUCUUUGAUGACACGUGGAUGAUUGCAUCGUCGACAUACAACUGGCAACAAACAUCUUCACAGCUGUCUGGUAGUUGGUUAAUGUAUAGGCAAAAGAGCAGCGGCCCCAGAAUGGAGCCUUGUGGUACGCCAACAUUACAGUGUUGAGGGGAUGAUAUUGAACUAUUGAUUUUAACUCAUUGCUUUCAAAAUUCCAGACAUGACUUAAAUCACCUGAGAGCUUGA